CACGGGGGGAGCAAGCGUUGUUCGGAAUCACUGGGCGUAAAGGGCGUGCAGGCGGUCAGGUAAGUGAGAUGUGAAAUGCCCCGGCUCACCCGGGGACCGGCAUCUCAUACUGCUUGGCUUGAGUACGGGAGAGGAUGUGGGAAUUCCUGGUGUAGCGGUGAAAUGCGUAGAUAUCAGGAGGAACACCGGUGGCGAAGGCGCACAUCUGGCCCGAUACCGACGCUGAGGCGCGAAAGCUAGGGGAGCAAACGGG
Molecule: ribosomal RNA, 253 nt
Filed under: uncultured bacterium
Lineage: Bacteria
Description: partial 16S ribosomal RNA
Rfam family: Bacterial small subunit ribosomal RNA
Source: RNAcentral